GGGAAAGCCUUCCCAAGCCACACAGGAGAAAAAUCUCCCAGCUCUCCUUCCCUUCCUCUGUUCUGGACACAGGCUGGUGAUGCUGGAGCCACAACAACCACCGGAAACCCCAAGGCGAAGACCAGAGAAUCCCAGAGAUGCAGACAGAGACUUCCUAGAGCUACAGAGUAAGCCAAAUUGGAGUUGCCUUUUCUGGACGUCUUGUUAAGGACAACCAGAGGCCUAUUUAUCUCAUGAUGGAAGGCAGGAGAACAAGCAGGCAAGACCAGCUGUGCUAGCACAUGCCACCUCUUUGCCCACGUCACACCUGCUGACGUCCCAUUGGCCAAUGCAAGUCACACAACCAAAGCCAACAUCAACAGGACAAGGAAACAGACUCUGCCUCUAGAUGCACAAACUACAGAGUCACGGACAGAGGACACGGAUCCAGGGAAGGAAGAUGGAGAAUGAGAACAAUGACCCUCAAUAACACAGCCUCCCACAGGUUUCCAAAUCCCCAACCCAGGCAUAUAUCCAAGGAAAUGGAAUCAUGGGUUCAGGUUUUAGAGCAAGCAAUUUCUGCUCUCCCUGCCUAGUUUCCACACCCUUAACACAGGGGCAAUGAUGUCACAUCAAAACAUAUCAUACAAAUUUGUGAUGAUGUUUCAACAACUAAACACCAGAAAAAUGCUUAGGGCAGGGCCGGGUAGGAGGGGCAGAAGCCAAUAGUAACUUAACAUCACUGCUAACCCACAAAGUUCUGGGAAUUUCUUUGAAUGUCUAAUUAGAGAACCAUGUCCCCAAGAAUUAACAUUUCUUUUGCUUUUUUUUGAAUCUGAGAAAAUACUAAUUGUCACAGGGUAGAAUAUUUAUCUGAUGAGCAUAUAGAAGUUAAGGGCUCCUUGAAAUCACAGUGCUAGGUUUGGGUCUCAUUCCUCCUCCUACCUGCCUCUCUGAGCCUCAGUUUCUCAUCUGUAGAAUGGGUACAAUCCCAACCUCAUGUGUUUGUGGCAGUCAGGGUUAAUUGGGCUAAUGAUUCUAAAGUGCUCUGCGCAGGCCUGGCAGGUACUGAGCAACCUUGGGCCAUAGAGAGAGCACUGACUUGGGAGUCAGGAGCUGGGACCUCAGGUCCUAUUCCCUGGGGAUCCGGGAAAAGUCCCUUGGCUUCCCUGAGCUUCAUCUGCCCCACGUGCUAGUGAGGUGGCUAGACCAGUCAGGCCAAGGACGUCCCUGCAGCUAUCUAACUUCUCCUUACUCCCUGUUCAGCAAAGGGCAGGAGCUGGGCCUGGCCAGGCUCCCACAAAGCCCAGGCGUGGCCGUGCUCAGCUCACGACGGGUGUGGGGGAUGCGUUUCUGCCCUCAAAGGACUGAGCUCCAGUUUCUUUCUUCACUGAGUCCUUUACUCUCUGCCUGCGGGUGGUUAUUUAAGACAUCUCCUGCCUGCAGGGGCCUCUUAGAGAACAAACAGAUCGUUCCUUCAGCUGCAGUGCAGGCUUUACUGGGCUUGUUCCUGCAUCAAGUAGACAGAUCCUUCCUGAAUGGAGUCGCCCCACAGGCCCCACACUCGGAGAGGGGCAGCCAGGAGCCUCCGAGGCUCUGCCCAGCCCGUCCUGAAUGUGCUCCCUGCCCUGAGUGGAGCGCUCACAGCUCCCCGCAUCAAGGUUUCUGUCUCCCCAAGGAUCUUCCUCAUAAAAACCCUUCUUCUCCCAGAUCCCACAAACCGACAUUAUAAAAAACACAAACACCCAAUAAGCACCAUGUAAAUUGAUCACAUACAAAUAAUAUCCAAAAAUAAGAACUCGUAUAACCACUUUAAACUAUAGAACAUGUCUGUUGGGAUUUGUGGGAGAUCAUGGAUCACAGGUUCCCCCUGCUCCUGGUUCAGCACUGUGAGAAAUGGAAGUGAGGUUCACCCAGGGACGGGAAAGCGUCAGCUGCCACUCAUGAGGCUGGGGGGCAGGGGAAGCCCUUCAUCCGUGGACACAAACAGGCAUCCUAACAUGACUUCCAUGAGCAGAAGUGGGCAGACAGGGCUGAAAAGCUGACCUUACAAGGCUGAGGACCUGCCUUGAGCUCUGCCUGACUGCAGAGAAGGAAAGUUCUCUUCUUGCAACCUCAAAUCUUCCAGAUAAGAACCAAACGACAUCCGGCCUUUGCGUUCUCUCCACCAGCUCCCGGCUCACCCACCCAGCAGCUCAGCACCUGCGAAAUCCGUCUCCCGAUGCACACUUGC
RNAcentral lists this long non-coding RNA (2212 nucleotides) under Homo sapiens (human). Its description in RNAcentral is "HSALNT0268106". Lineage: Eukaryota; Metazoa; Chordata; Mammalia; Primates; Hominidae. The record is from RNAcentral.